CUCCACCAUGUUCCCUCUGCUUUCCUCCAACUGUUAAUAUUUCCCAAAGUUAAUCAUCAUGCAAGGCUGAGCAGUGGUGUCAGACCUGCUCAUUUGAAAUCACAUCUCUCAGAGCCCUUUCAUCUCCCAAUUUUCUUGAACAACUGCUCAUUUAAGGACGCCCCUGGGAAAUUUGGAAUUCAGAAGUAACGAAUUAAUUAUACACUGCAC
This 210-nucleotide long non-coding RNA is filed under the name Fukomys damarensis (Damara mole-rat). RNAcentral describes it as "lncRNA (ENSFDAG00000022193.1)". Lineage: Eukaryota; Metazoa; Chordata; Mammalia; Rodentia; Bathyergidae. The record is from RNAcentral.